AUUAAAGCUUUCUGUGAGUCCUGUGUGGAAAAUCAUCUAUAAGGAGGCAAGAUUUUGAGCAGGGAGAUCUGUUCGGAAGUUAUUGUACCAGCGUACCAACAGAAGGUAGCAGACGGACCCAGGAGCAGCAGUGAAUGUGGAGCUUUCCUCACUGCUUCAGUCUGCAUUUCUUCUUGCUGCCGCCAUGAGAAGAAGGAUGUGUUUGCUUCCCCUUCUGCCACUAUUGAAAGUUUCCUGAGGCCUCCCCAACCAUGCUGAACUUAUGUAUUAGGGAACAUGAAGAAAAUCUGCAGUUAUCACUAACAGCUGAAGCUGAUGAUAGGCUUGAAUAAAAGAAAUGUAGGAAGCAGUGCAGUUUGCCUCAACAAUAUAAAAACAACCCAAGAAUAUAUCCUCAUAAAGCAUAGGCGUGGACUCUGUUAUUGACUGAGUUGUGUCCUCCCCGAACUUUAUGUUGAAGCCUAACUCCCAAUGUGACUCUACUUGGAGAUAUGCCCUUUAAAGAGGCAUUUUUGGUUAAAUGAGGUUGUACAGGUGAGGCCCUAAUCCAGCAUGACUGGUGUCCUGAUAAGAGGAACAGACACCAAGGGAUGUGCAUACACAGAGGAAAAGGACAUGUGAAGACAUGACAAGACAAGAGGCAUCUGCACGUCAAGGAGAGAGGCCCCCAGAGAAACCACACCUGCCAACACCCUCCUGAAAUUAAACUUCAAAACUGUGAGAAAUACAUUUCUGUUUCUUAAGCCACCCAGUAUUUAGUAUUUUGUUAUGGCAUCUCUAACCAGAACCCUGACUAAUGCAGACCCUAAUAAUGGGCAUCAACAAAUUAAGAUUUGUAUAUGGAUUAUAUGAUGAGUUUUUGUUCUGCCAUUAAUUACCAGAGUGAUUUAUGGGAAGGUAUUUAAUCUCUAUGGGUCAUAUUUUCCUGACCUUUGAUGAAGGAUGAAAAAAGAACUAAAAAAAUCUGUAAAAUAGACACAAGUUUAAAUGUAAUGGUAAUAAAGACAUUCCCAAUUAUGCCAACCAACU
This 1029-nucleotide long non-coding RNA is filed under the name Homo sapiens (human). RNAcentral describes it as "HSALNT0173214". The record is from RNAcentral. Lineage: Eukaryota; Metazoa; Chordata; Mammalia; Primates; Hominidae.